AAGGAUUCGCAAGGGAACCUGCGGAAGGAUCAU
RNAcentral lists this ribosomal RNA (33 nucleotides) under Parmelia squarrosa. Its description in RNAcentral is "partial 18S ribosomal RNA". The record is from RNAcentral. Lineage: Eukaryota; Fungi; Ascomycota; Lecanoromycetes; Lecanorales; Parmeliaceae.